This 490-nucleotide ribosomal RNA is filed under the name uncultured bacterium. RNAcentral describes it as "partial 16S ribosomal RNA". It matches the Rfam family "Bacterial small subunit ribosomal RNA", at positions 30 to 507 of the family's 1533-position model. The record is from RNAcentral.
AUUGAACGCUGGCGGCAGGCCUAACACAUGCAAGUCGAACGGUAACAGGAAGACGCUUGCUUCUUUGCUGACGAGUGGCGGACGGGUGAGUAAUGUCUGGGAAACUGCCUGAUGGAGGGGGGUAACUACUGGAAACGGUAGCUAAUACCGCAUAACGUCGCAAGACCAAAGAGGGGGACCUUCGGGCCUCUUGCCAUCGGAUGUGCCCAGAUGGGAUUAGCUAGUAGGUGGGGUAACGGCUCACCUAGGCGACGAUCCCUAGCUGGUCUGAGAGGAUGACCAGCCACACUGGAACUGAGCCACGGUCCUGACUCCUACGGGCGGCAGCGGUGCGGAAUAUUGCACAAUGGGCGCAAGCCUGAUGCAGCCAUGCCGGGUGUAUGCAGCAGGCCUUCGGGUUGUAAAGUACUUUCCGCGGUGAGGAAGGGAGUAACGUUAAUACCUUUGCUCAUUGACGUUACCCACAGAAGAAGCACCGGCUAACUCCGUG